This is a long non-coding RNA of Phoenix dactylifera (date palm), 567 nucleotides long. RefSeq lists it as uncharacterized. Lineage: Eukaryota; Viridiplantae; Streptophyta; Magnoliopsida; Arecales; Arecaceae. The record is from RefSeq and is a predicted model, not a curated record.
UAUAUCUAUAUAUUAGCAUCUUUCCUUGUUGGAUUUAGAGAUUCUUAGCUCACCGUUCCUUGUUGGAUUUGGAGGCUCUUAGUCUCAUCUUUGUGUGUGUGUGUGUGAGAGAGAGAGAGAGAAUGGGACCAGGAGGACCUGGGCCUGGACCAGGGCCUGGAGGGCCGCCCGGUUUCGGGCCAGGGCCUGGUGGUCCGGGUGGUGGUUUUGAUGGACCGUGUGGCUGCUUAUCUUCAUGCUUGUACUUCUUGUGUUGCUGCGGGUUGCUCCGGGAUUGUUGUGGCCCAUUAUUUGGUGGGCCCCCAGGACCACCUGGGCCUGCAUUUUGACGGCCUCUAUCAAACCAUUUGAUGUGAUCAGAUGUAUGAUAAAUAUUGCAGUUGGAUGUGUCAUGUGUGUGCUUCACAACAAUAAAGGAGUGCUUAGUGCUCACUUUUCUUGUAUAAACCUUUUUUUUAUUUCGAAUUAUUUAUGUAAUAAUUUUGGAUUUGGCAUCGAAUCAACUGGUCUGUAACAUCUAAUGGAGCACAAAUUCUCAAACAGCUUACGCAAUAUCUUAUAAAUCAA